This 328-nucleotide ribosomal RNA is filed under the name Mallomonas sp. RNAcentral's name for it is "SSU rRNA". It matches the Rfam family "Eukaryotic small subunit ribosomal RNA". The record is from RNAcentral. Lineage: Eukaryota; Synurophyceae; Synurales; Mallomonadaceae.
CUACACUGACACACGCARCGAGUCUUCCUUGUCCGAAAGGUCCGGGUAAUCUUGUAAAUGUGUGUCGUGAUAGGGAUAGAUUAUUGCAAUUAUUAAUCUUGAACGAGGAAUUCCUAGUAAAUGCGAGUCAUCAGCUCGCGUUGAUUACGUCCCUGCCCUUUGUACACACCGCCCGUCGCACCUACCGAUUGAAUGAUUCGGUGAAAAUUCCGGACUGUGGCUCGGAUGCCUUCGGGCAACCUUGCUGUAGGAAGUUAUUUAAACCUCAUCAUUUAGAGGAAGGUGAAGUCGUAACAAGGUUUCCGUAGGUGAACCUGCGGAAGGAUCA